This 253-nucleotide ribosomal RNA is filed under the name uncultured bacterium. RNAcentral describes it as "partial 16S ribosomal RNA". It matches the Rfam family "Bacterial small subunit ribosomal RNA", at positions 524 to 776 of the family's 1533-position model. The record is from RNAcentral.
UACAGAGGAGCCAAGCGUUGUCCGGAUUGACUGGGCGUAAAGCGCACGCAGGCGGACGCGCGCGUGGGGUGUGAAAUCUGGCCGCUUAACGGCCAGGCGCCAUCCCAUACGGCGCGUCUGGAGCAAUGCAGAGGUCGGUGGAAUUGCCGGUGUAGUGGUGAAAUGCGUAGAGAUCGGGAGGAACACCAGUGGCGAAGGCGGCCCCCUGGGCCGUUCCUGACGCUGAGACGCGAAGGCGCGGGGAGCGAACGGG